Molecule: ribosomal RNA, 753 nt
Filed under: uncultured bacterium
Lineage: Bacteria
Description: bacterial SSU rRNA
Rfam family: Bacterial small subunit ribosomal RNA
Source: RNAcentral
GAUGAACGCUAGCGGCAGGCUUAACACAUGCAAGUCGAGGGGUAACAUUGGUGCUUGCAUCAGAUGACGACCGGCGAACGGGUGCGUAACGCGUAUAGAAUCUGCCUUGUACAGGAGGAUAGCCUUUAGAAAUGAAGAUUAAUACUCCAUAAUGUUAUUUGGUGGCAUCAUUAGAUAAUUAAAGAUUUAUUGGUACAAGAUGACUAUGCGUCCUAUUAGUUAGUUGGUAAGGUAACGGCUUACCAAGGCGGCGAUAGGUAGGGGGUCUGAGAGGAUUAUCCCCCACACUGGUACUGAGACACGGACCAGACUCCUACGGGAGGCAGCAGUGAGGAAUAUUGGACAAUGGGCGGAAGCCUGAUCCAGCCAUGCCGCGUGCAGGAAGACUGCCCUAUGGGUUGUAAACUGCUUUUAUACAGGAAGAAACGUAUCCACGUGUGGAUAUUUGACGGUACUGUAAGGAUAAGCACCGGCUAACUCCGUGCCAGCAGCCGCGGUAAUACGGAGGGUGCAAGCGUUAUCCGGAAUCAUUGGGUUUAAAGGGUCCGCAGGCGGUCGAUUAAGUCAGAGGUGAAAUCUCACAGCUUAACUGUGAAACUGCCUUUGAUACUGGUUGACUUGAGUCAUAUGGAAGUGGAUAGAAUAAGUAGUGUAGCGGUGAAAUGCAUAGAUAUUACUUAGAAUACCGAUUGCGAAGGCAGUCCACUACGUAUGUACUGACGCUCAUGGACGAAAGCGUGGGGAGCGAACAGG